UUCUGAGGAUAGAGCCGCGCGAGCUUCCUCCCGUUCUGCGUCCCUGCGACGUAUGGGCACUGCCCGGGGGCUAUGACCUGUAACCAAAGAAGAGGGAAAAUGCGAGAUAAGCAGCGGCUGGACCAUGAUAACCAGGGAUGCAGGUGAGUAGAUCUCUGGUUUCUCUUUGUUUGGUUCUUGGUUCACUGUUAGCUCAUCAGUACCCAUCAUUCGCUUGUGAUCGACUCAAGCUACAGCCGUAAACAAGUUACUGACCUUUCAGACUGGAUGUUUCAGGUAUGGCUGUUGAUUUGCUUCGUGUUCACAGAAUCCUCUCCACCCUGUUGGAGACAAAGGGGAUAACCGUCACGAGAUAUAUAGAAGGUAGAGGUAAUACCCAGAAAACAACCGAAUUGUUGCUGGAAGCUGGUGAGCAAGAGCUUUUACGCACCUGGGAAGACCCAAUGGACGAGCAGUGCAAACAGGACAGCAAGGACUCGAUUCGGAGAACAAUCGUGGAGCAUGAUAAGGUCUUCAGGCAGCAGGUACGUAGCAAGCAGCACCAUAAUUUGUGAGGUAUAUUUGCACACAUAGACGACGAGAAGCUAACAGACUGCUCCAGUUCUGUAAUAUAUUGUAGCACACUACUACUUAGCUGCGUAAUACCUCCAUCUUUCUAGUGAUAAGUUGACGACCAGUUGUUAGUCAGACCUAAGUUGUCUUGUCAUCCAUGCAACAAGAACUUUUGCAUCUGAUACUGAUACUGCUUCUUUGCAUCAGGUGCAUGAGCUGCAUCGUUUGUACCAUGUACAAAAAACAUUGAUGGCUGAAUGCGAUAGCCAUAGGUAUCAACCGAGAGCAGAAGGAACUCAUGAAGUGGUGCAGGGAUCAAGGUCGAACCUCAAGUGCAGUCCUUCUACCUCAGGGACAAACCAAUCUGCUCUCCUUG
This 928-nucleotide long non-coding RNA is filed under the name Zea mays. RNAcentral's name for it is "long non-coding RNA (ZMAY_LNC003850)". The record is from RNAcentral. Lineage: Eukaryota; Viridiplantae; Streptophyta; Magnoliopsida; Poales; Poaceae.